GUUGAGCAGCGACUGGGCUGAGUCGCAAAGGGAGGGAGACGGGCGUUCCGGCUCGCCCGCAUCGACGUAGCCUCAUCUCCUCUACGCCUUCCCCCCGGCGGGAAUCCUUCGCCCUCGUCUCCGCCUCUUCCCUUAAUCGCGAGCACGUCACGAUCGGAUCAGGCAUCGCCUCGCCAGCGUCUUCGAUUUGAUCCUCGGGUUAAGCAUCCGUCUCAAGCAUGCUCCCAAUUCUGCUCUCUUCAAUCAGCGGUUGAAGAAUGUGCGGAGCGAAACAGGGUUUUAGCUGGAGGGACAAAUGUCGGCAACGCAAGUUUACAUUCAGGUACACUGUUCUUCUAGGCUGAGAAGAAACUCAUUGUUCUGCUGACAAGUAUCAUGAUAUUUUGUGCCCUAAGAUCAAUUAUGAGCUCGAACAACAGGUGUACAAUCUUUUUACCUGCUACAAUAUUACAUUGGAGAUAUUAGAAGGAUA
Long non-coding RNA from Musa acuminata AAA Group (dessert banana), 472 nucleotides. RefSeq lists it as uncharacterized. The record is from RefSeq and is a predicted model, not a curated record. Lineage: Eukaryota; Viridiplantae; Streptophyta; Magnoliopsida; Zingiberales; Musaceae. The transcript is spliced from 3 exons.